RNAcentral lists this long non-coding RNA (445 nucleotides) under Oreochromis niloticus (Nile tilapia). Its description in RNAcentral is "lncRNA (ENSONIG00000030594.1)". Lineage: Eukaryota; Metazoa; Chordata; Actinopteri; Cichliformes; Cichlidae. The record is from RNAcentral.
UGACACAGUGAUUCUGCCGUGCUUCACUGAUCCUCAAACCAAUGUCAUUAGAGUGGAGUGGAUGGUAAAUGGGACAACUGAGGUCCAUGUGCACAGACAAGGAGAAGAUUAUCUUGAUUACCAAGCAAAUAUCUACAAUGGAAAAACAUCUGUUUUUAAACAGCAACUACCAAAAGGGAACUCUUCACUGCAACUGGUGGUUUCUCAGUCUCAUUUCGGGACAUACAGUUGCUCUGUACUUACAUCAAAGAAAACAGAAGACAGUUGUGAUAUAAAUCUCAAGCCAGUCAGUGGAAAAGGACCAAGCCCAUCUCCGAACAGUACCAUCGCUGGCUUUCAACGUUCUCAUAUAAUAGGUAUUGGGGUUACUGUUCUCGUCGGUUUUGUUCUUGCUGUCCUUGCUGGUGUCUGGUUUUGCCGGAAUUAAAAGAAGAAAGAAACAAGU